RNAcentral lists this transfer RNA (75 nucleotides) under Gammaproteobacteria bacterium. RNAcentral's name for it is "tRNA-Thr". It matches the Rfam family "tRNA". Rfam says of the family: Transfer RNA (tRNA) molecules are approximately 80 nucleotides in length. Their secondary structure includes four short double-helical elements and three loops (D, anti-codon, and T loops). The record is from RNAcentral. RNAcentral also lists the same sequence under 1 other name. Lineage: Bacteria; Pseudomonadati; Pseudomonadota; Gammaproteobacteria.
GCCGCCGUAGCUCAGUGGUAGAGCAGCCGCCUUGUAAGCGGCAGGUCGUCUGUUCGAUUCAGACCGGCGGCACCA